RNAcentral lists this ribosomal RNA (204 nucleotides) under uncultured bacterium. Its description in RNAcentral is "partial 16S ribosomal RNA". It matches the Rfam family "Bacterial small subunit ribosomal RNA", at positions 524 to 730 of the family's 1533-position model. The record is from RNAcentral.
UACGUAGGGGCAAGCGUUGUCCGGAUUUAUUGGGCGUAAAGAGCGUGUAGGCGGCCAGGUAGGUCUGCUGUGAAACAUCGAGGCUUAACCUCGAGCUGUCGGCGGAAACCAUCUGGCUAGAGUCCGGAAGAGGAGAAUGGAAUUCCCGGUGUAGCGGUGAAAUGCGCAGAUAUCGGGAAGAACACCGUGGCGAAGGCGGUCUCU